GAACAUCAAGCAUGCCGAGGGGUGCUGAGGACGGCCGACUGGGAGUCCCAAGGCAUACACAGAAGAGGGGGCUGCUGAGGAGGGGCAGGAGGGAUGACGUCACACAGGGCAAGUCCAGGACCCCCAGGAUAAGGUUCUGGGAGAUGAAGGGAAGCCUGGGAGUCUGGGCUCCUGUAACAAAUGAGUAAGCAGGAGCCAGAACUCUGAAGGCCCAUGAGCAUGAAGCUUCUCAGGCAUCAGGAACCCACCUGCAGGGGGACCAGCGCCACUAUGCCUGCGCCUCUCUAGUGCCAGCUUUGCCCCUGGACUUGACCCAGCACCGCUGCCAUGCUCUCACCAGCGACAAGGAUGUGUAGGCAUCUGGCCUCAGUGCUCAGCUUCGGGCGCUGGGGGAGGCCAGACCCAGGCUCGACUAUCUGCAGGGGGAAUCAAAAUGACCUCUCAGGAAAAAAAUGAUGCCAUUGUGUGACAAAAGUCAGGAAGGCUGAACGCUAUGUGAAUGCCAACCAGUCUAUCCGUGUUCACAAUCAGACCUACCAUCCCCACGCACAGGACGAUGUUGGUUUGACCUCAGCAGAAAUCAGAUCUGCUCUACAUGGUGAUGAUGAUAGCAAACAUAUGGAAUUGAUUAAAUGAAUAAAUAACCCUACUUAGUUUUGCAUAAGAAUAUGUGGU
This is a long non-coding RNA of Mustela erminea (ermine), 675 nucleotides long. RefSeq lists it as uncharacterized. The transcript has 3 exons. NCBI's taxonomy places the organism in Eukaryota, Metazoa, Chordata, Mammalia, Carnivora, Mustelidae. The record is from RefSeq and is a predicted model, not a curated record.